GGGCGCCAUGGGAAUCCCGCGCGCCGAGGACGGGCGGCUGGAGCCGGUCUUGGCCUUGUGUCAACACGGCGCCGGCGGCGGCGGCUGCGGGGAGGGGCCGGGGCGCCCCGCAGACCCGCGCGCAGUCUGAGGGAGAGCAGGCGCGGCCCCGCCGCGGACAGGCGCCCGGCAGCCAUGGCGGAGUCGGCGUCGGCUCGGAAAAAAAGGAGGGGGAAUAACAGAAUAAGGAAAAAUUCAUCUAAAAGAAGGUAAGAAUGAAGAUGAAAGUUGGGAUAAAUCACACAGAAAAGCACAGGAGGAAGCGCCGCGCCACCCCUUUGGCUUCUCCCUCGCCGCCCCCACCAGAGACCGAGGAGCUCUCACUCCAGUCCGUGAUGGCCGCCCUGCAGGCCGUGGAGAAGAAGAUGGAGUCCCAGGCCGCCCAGCUGCAGAGCCUGGAGAAGCGCAUGGAGUCAGCCGAGAAGAAGCUGGCCGACUUCGAGAAGACGGCCGUGGAGUUCGGGAACCAGCUGGAGGGCAAGUGGGCCGUGCUGGGGACCCUGCUGCAGGAGUACGGGCUGCUGCAGAGGCGGCUGGAGAACAUGGAGAACCUGCUGAGGAACAGGAACUUCUGGGUCCUGCGGCUGCCCCCGGGCAGCACGGGGGAGGCCCCCAAGAUGCCCAGGUCACUCGAGAACGAUGGAGUCUGCUUCUCGGAGCAGGAGUGGGAGAACCUGGAGGACUGGCAGAAGGAGCUGUACAGAAACGUGAUGAUGAGCAACUAUGAGACGCUGGUCUCUCUGAAGGUCCUUGGGCAGCCUGAAGGAGAAGCGGAGUUGGGUACAGAGAUGCUGGGAGACUUGGAGGAGGAAAGCCUUGGUGGUGUCCACCCAGCAGACGGGGUUGUGAUUAAGCAGGAGGUGGAGUACCCGCCGGAACGCUCUGCGGACCUUCCGGGAGAGCUCUCGGGCCCCACAGAGGAGCCGGCCUUCCUGGGCCCGGAGCAGACUGAGCUCUGGAACACGCAGGGUGGCGCUGUCCUCUUGGAACCGGGGGCCGGGGACGCCCAUCCAGAGGAGCCUGCCGAGGGCAGCAGGGACCCUGGCAGCGACAGAAGUCUGGACUGCCCCCCGAAGCAGAAAUCCAAUAGGCCAGUGCCGCUGGCUCCGGAAUGUAACCCGGCCCUGAAGCUGAACAGGGAAGAUUUUGGCCCCUACGACUGUCCUGAGUGCGAGCUCAGCUUCCGCUGUGAGCAGCAGCUGGCCUAUCUGCGGGCCCACCCGUCGUGGGAGUCUUCCACCACCUCGGAGUCCGAGGAGGGUCUUAGGUCCAGGCCGCUGCUGAAGGCCUCGUCCAAGAAGGGGAAGCACCAGUGUGACGUGUGCAUGAGGAGCUUCAGCAGCAAGGUGAACCUGGCCAACCACCAGCGCUGCCACUUGCAGGAGGGGCCCAGCGGUGGCCAGCGUGUCCAGGAGAGGUUCUCGCCCAACAGCCUGGUGGCCCUCCCCGGCCACAUCCCCUGGAGGAAAAGCCGGAGUUGCCUCAUCUGUGGUUACUGUGGCAAGAGCUUCAGCCACCCAUCAGAUCUGGUGCGGCACCAGCGCAUCCACACGGGCGAGCGGCCCUACACCUGCCCCGAGUGUGAGCGGAGCUUCGUGCAGAAGCAGCACCUCCUGCAGCACCAGAAGAUCCACCAGCGGGAGCGUGGCACGCUGGCCUCCGAGCCAGGCAGGCCCAACGGCCUGCUCUAAGGGUGCCAGCCCCCCGCCUGUCCGGGGGAGCUGAGGGGGCUGGCAUUGGUCCCCUGAAGAGACACUGUGCAGAGUCAGGGACUGACUUCUUCCUUGGGGGUGUCAUUUAGGUUUGGCUGACUUUGGCCAAGCAGCAGGCCGAGCCCACGCCCUCAGAACUGUGCGGAGGAGCGCCGGGGCCAGGCCUGUCCCUGCUGUCUGCCCUGCUGCUGUGUGUGCCGCGUCUCGGGUUUUCCCAUCCGUGCUGACACUGUGCCCUGGGGCUGGUGUGAGGUCCGUCCCAGCGUCCCAGGUCUUCCCACGGGUGGGGUCGGGCCAAAGGAAGGAGCAGGUGUGCAGGAGAGCUCUGGAAGCACAGCCCUCUGCUUCCUCUUCGGCUGUAGUCUCCUUGUUACUAACAAGGAGCAGUAACUUAAAUGAACUGCUCACCUUGCUCUGAAGAACCUUUUUUGGAAUUAGAUGUUAGCUGGUUUGAAGAAAAUACAGCCUGACCCUUGUUUUUUAAACUUCCCAAGUUGUGGAAGUUGUUCCUCACCUGGGGACUGCGGCCAGCUGGGAGGGAACAGUUUGGGGCCUUCUUUAGCUGAGGCCAGCGGUCAGGGUGCAGAGCGCGGGCUCCCUCUCGGACGGGGCUCGCUGAAUCGGAAGGACCAAGAGGGAGAGAGCAGUGGGAGUAGACCCCAGAGCCCCCCAUUGGGAACGAGGAGUCUGGGAAAGGAGCUGAGAGGCGCCUGGGUUUCUCGCCGCAGCUCACUUCCUCUUCCACCUGCGUCCUUGCUGCGUCCUGCAGCCUCACAGGGUAGACGACUCCUUCGUUACUUAAGGUGGUUCAGCUUGUAUCAGCUCGUAUUUGAGUUUGUUCCUGUUAGACCAGUUGUUCCUCGAGGUUGUCCAGAUGACACACUUUCCCACUUAGUGCUGGGUGUUGACUGUGCACAGAGGACUGGGGCCUGCUGCACAGGAGAAGCAGCGGAGCAGACAGGAAGCCUGAAGAACAGGCCCUGGAAACUAGGCUUUUCUACUUUGUUACUUUGAAACUUUUUUUCUCCUUACGAAGCUUUUCUGGUGCUUUUGUAAGAGUUGUGUGUGGUUGCCAAGGGGACCACAAGCCUCUGGGGGCCAGGACUGUUCUGCCACCUGCCUGUGUGUGGGGACCAUAGAGCGCAGCCCAGACCAGCCUCGGCGUUGAUGGGACGCUCUGGUUGCUGCCCUGGAAACCAGGUGUCUGCUUGUCGGCCCAGAGUGAUUCCGUUGUUCCUGGCCUUCCUGUAUGGGGGUGAUUGACUUUGGUUAGCGGUAGAGAAGUGGGCACUGAAGCCCAGAGUGGAUGACUUCCCCGGCGUCUCCGUGUUCCAGGCUGUGCAUGCUCCAUGCCCACAGGUCGCCACAAGGGGGAGCCUCAGGAAGAAGCCCAGGAAGCUCCUCCUGAGCAAGAGGUCCAGGUUUGGGUGAGGCUGGUCUGCCGCCUGGGUGGUUUGUCAUGUUAAAGGAGGGAGGCAUGUCUCCGAGAAUGAGGGUCUUCUGCAGAGCUAGACCAGGAGAUCUGGAUGAAUGUGUUCACCACCACCAGCCAGCCUGGUGUUCCUCACUUACCCCAGCGCAGCCUACCUCACCUUAGGGUUGUCAGGGUCGUACUAGAUUAAGAGGCAACCAAAUAGGAAGCCUGAUCGCUUCCUUCCUUUCACGUUCGGGGCUGUGUCUCUCUUCUUUGUUGACCUCCAGCCCAUUCUCUCAGAGUCCACCAGGAAGAGCCUUUAUUUUUGUGAAGUGAGUGGAAGGUCAGGUAGGUGCUGAGCGGGGUGACUUUUUCAUUGGUUAUAUCCCCCGGAGCGCUUUGUGUUUCAGUGAGACAAAUUCUUACCAAAUCAGAGAGUCAAACUGUGAAUGCUCAGGCAUUGGCAUCAGGCUCAUGGAGAAGUCUUAAAUCCUCCUCCUCUGGGUGCUGCCUACGGACCAGCCCUCAGGUUGGGUGAUUUUGAAGCUUGGGCGAUGGGUCCUCAGCUGUUCUGACAGUCUUAUUUGUCUGGCACUAUGUGAAGAGGAUUGCAUCCAGGUGCCUGGGUCCCUGGCUGUGCCCCCUCUGACUGCACAUGAACAGAGUUUGGGGCAGGUGGUAAUAUUGCCAUCAUCUCUGGGGCACGAAUGAGUCUACAAGUCAGUGCCAGCUCAUCCAAGCACCUCUGGGAAAAGAGGUGCCCACUGUUUGUCUAUUCUGGUACCCCUCCGCCCCCUCUGGGGACCCCACAAGUCUGGGCAAGGCUGUCAGCAAGUGCUCAAACGGAAUAUGGUGCCAGUGUAACUGCUCUGAUCUUAACCCUCAGCUGCAAGAGCUGGUCUCAGGUGUUUCCUGGGGAUGCCUAGGGCUAAGAGUUCCGAGGCCCGGUUUGCUAGCUAAAUGUCCUGUGUCAAUACAGGCACUCCUAGAAGCCACACAUGAGCAAUCGCAAGGCACUGAUGUCCCCCUUUCUCUUUCCAAAGCAGUAAACGUGCUGGGCCCCCGUCAAGGCCUUGUGAGUGCUGACACCCAAUAGGUGUUCAAAGAAAGUCCGCGCUUCAAAACGAGUCAGGGGAGCCUGAGUGUGGCAGGAGCAGAUUGGACCUCUGGGACUCCAGAGGCUGGAGCCUGGUGUGGCCUUACACUCACUCCCAGCUCUGGGCCGUGGCCUCCUUGUUUGUAAAACAAAGGAAGGUGGAAUGCUGGUGUUCAAGGACCUGAAGAACUGAUGGUGGCAGUUCCUUGCCUCAGUCUCGAGUCAAUAAAUAUAUUGGACUAAUA
Molecule: RNA transcript, 4506 nt
Organism: Pipistrellus kuhlii (Kuhl's pipistrelle)
Lineage: Eukaryota; Metazoa; Chordata; Mammalia; Chiroptera; Vespertilionidae
Gene: ZNF212
Gene name: zinc finger protein 212
Exons: 7
Source: RefSeq, a predicted model, not a curated record